UAGUCCCGUACACGAAAAUGCACAGGUUGUGAACUCGAAGAGUAGGGCGGGACACGUGGUAUCCUGUCUGAAUAUGGGGGGACCAUCCUCCAAGGCUAAAUACUCCUGACUGACCGAUAGUGAACCAGUACCGUGAGGGAAAGGCGAAAAGAACCCCGGCGAGGGGAGUGAAAAAGAACCUGAAACCGUGUACGUACAAGCAGUGGGAGCACCUUCGGGUGUGACUGCGUACCUUUUGUAUAAUGGGUCAGCGACUUAUAUUCUGUAGCAAGGUUAACCGUAUAGGGGAGCCGAAGGGAAACCGAGUCUUAACUGGGCGUUAAGUUGCAGGGUAUAGACCCGAAACCCGGUGAUCUAGCCAUGGGCAGGUUGAAGGUUGGGUAACACUAACUGGAGGACCGAACCGACUAAUGUUGAAAAAUUAGCGGAUGACCUGUGGCUGGGGGUGAAAGGCCAAUCAAACCGGGAGAUAGCUGGUUCUCCCCGAAAGCUAUUUAGGUAGCGCCUCGUGAACUCAUCUUCGGGGGUAGAGCACUGUUUCGGCUAGGGGGCCAUCCCGGCUUACCAACCCGAUGCAAACUACGAAUACCGAAGAAUGUUAUCACGGGAGACACACGGCGGGUGCUAACGUCCGUCGUGAAGAGGGAAACAACCCAGACCGCCAGCUAAGGUCCCAAAGUCAUGGUUAAGUGGGAAACGAUGUGGGAAGGCACAGACAGCCAGGAUGUUGGCUUAGAAGCAGCCAUCAUUUAAAGAAAGCGUAAUAGCUCACUGGUCGAGUCGGCCUGCGCGGAAGAUGUAACGGGGCUAAACCAUGCACCGAAGCUGCGGCAGCG
This 836-nucleotide ribosomal RNA is filed under the name Enterobacter hormaechei subsp. xiangfangensis. Its description in RNAcentral is "partial 23S ribosomal RNA". It matches the Rfam family "Bacterial large subunit ribosomal RNA", at positions 368 to 1210 of the family's 2925-position model. Lineage: Bacteria; Pseudomonadati; Pseudomonadota; Gammaproteobacteria; Enterobacterales; Enterobacteriaceae. The record is from RNAcentral.